GUCUUCUCAUGAGCUCCUCUCCGUCUCCAUGAUGGCGGUGUACGGAUUCGCACGAGAAGUAGAUAACCAGUGUGAGAGGUAGUUGCUUGCUUGUUUUGAUGGCACUAGCAACAUCUUUUAUGAAACACGA
RNAcentral lists this small nucleolar RNA (130 nucleotides) under Paramormyrops kingsleyae. RNAcentral describes it as "Small nucleolar RNA SNORA75 (ENSPKIG00000002636.1)". The record is from RNAcentral. Lineage: Eukaryota; Metazoa; Chordata; Actinopteri; Osteoglossiformes; Mormyridae.